Molecule: ribosomal RNA, 468 nt
Filed under: uncultured bacterium
Lineage: Bacteria
Description: partial 16S ribosomal RNA
Rfam family: Bacterial small subunit ribosomal RNA
Source: RNAcentral
GACGAACGCUGGCGGCGUGCUUAACACAUGCAAGUCGAACGGAAAGGCCCUGCUUUUGUGGGGUGCUCGAGUGGCGAACGGGUGGGUAACAAGUGAGUAACCUGCCCUCGACUUUGGGAUAACUUCAGGAAACUGGGGCUAAUACCGGAUAGGAGCUCCUGCUGCAUGGUGGGGGUUGGAAAGUUUCGGCGGCUGGGGAUGGUCUCGCGGCUUAUCAGCUUGUUGGUGGGGUAGUGGCUUACCAAGGCUUUGAAGGGUAGCCGGCCUGAGAGGGUGACCGGCCACAUUGGGACUGAGGAACGGCCCAGACUCCUACGGGAGGCAGAAGUGGGGAAUAUUGCACGAUGGGCGGAAGCCUGAUGCAGCAACGCCGCGUGCGGGAUGACGGCCUUCGGGUUGUAAACCGCUUUCGCCUGUGACGAAGCGUGAGUGACGGUAAUGGGUAAAGAAGCACCGGCUAACUACGUG